CCCUUAGAUGUUCUGGGCCGCACGCGUGCUACACUGAGUGGAUCAGCGGGUCAGGUUGCGCGAAAGCGUUUCCUAAUCUUUAAAUCCGCUCGUGAUGGGGAUUGACGGUUGCAAUUUUCUGUCAUGAACGAGGAAUACCUUGUAAGCGCGGGUCAUCAUCCCGCGCUGAAUACGUCCCUGCCCUUUGUACACACCGCCCGUCGCUCCUACCGAUUGAAUGGCUUAGUGAGGCCUCAGGAUCCGCGCUUAAUGUGUGGAGAAUUUGGACAAACUACGUCAUUUAGAGGAAGUAAAAGUCGUAACA
Molecule: ribosomal RNA, 304 nt
Filed under: uncultured eukaryote
Lineage: Eukaryota
Description: partial 18S ribosomal RNA
Rfam family: Eukaryotic small subunit ribosomal RNA
Source: RNAcentral